RNAcentral lists this ribosomal RNA (465 nucleotides) under uncultured bacterium. RNAcentral describes it as "partial 16S ribosomal RNA". It matches the Rfam family "Bacterial small subunit ribosomal RNA", at positions 28 to 507 of the family's 1533-position model. The record is from RNAcentral.
GACGAACGCUGGCGGCGUGCUUAACACAUGCAAGUCGAACGGAAAGGCCCUGCUUGCAGGGUACUCGAGUGGCGAACGGGUGAGUAACACGUGGGUGAUCUGCCCUGCACUUCGGGAUAAGCCUGGGAAACUGGGUCUAAUACCGGAUAGGAGCCAUUUUUAGUGUGAUGGUUGGAAAGUUUUUUCGGUGUAGGAUGAGCUCGCGGCCUAUCAGCUUGUUGGUGGGGUAAUGGCCUACCAAGGCGGCGACGGGUAGCCGGCCUGAGAGGGUGGACGGCCACAUUGGGACUGAGAUCCGGCCCAGACUCCUACGGGAGGAAGCAGGGGGGAAUAUUGCACAAGGGGCGAAAGCCUGAUGCAGGGACGCCGCGUGGGGGAUGACGGCCUUCGGGUUGUAAACUCCUUUCGCUAGGGACGAAGCUUUUUGUGACGGUACCUAGAGAAGAAGCACCGGCUAACUACGUG